RNAcentral lists this ribosomal RNA (250 nucleotides) under uncultured bacterium. Its description in RNAcentral is "partial 16S ribosomal RNA". It matches the Rfam family "Bacterial small subunit ribosomal RNA", at positions 28 to 287 of the family's 1533-position model. The record is from RNAcentral.
AAUGAACGUUGGCGGCGUGGAUUAGGCAUGCAAGUCGGACGCCCCGCAAGGGCGUGGCGCAAGGGUGAGUAAGGCGACGGCAACCAACCCCGUGAUUGGGCGAUAGCCGCGGGAAACGUAGCGGGUAAUACCCAGCGACGUUCUUGGGGAGCAUUCCCGGGAACCAUAGGUGUGACUCCGGCACGGGACGGACCGUCGUGGUAUCAGGUUGUUGGCGGGGUAACGGCCCACCAAGCCGAUGACGCCUACC